RNAcentral lists this ribosomal RNA (494 nucleotides) under uncultured bacterium. Its description in RNAcentral is "partial 16S ribosomal RNA". It matches the Rfam family "Bacterial small subunit ribosomal RNA", at positions 28 to 507 of the family's 1533-position model. The record is from RNAcentral.
GACGAACGCUGGCGGCGCGCUUAACACAUGCAAGUCGAACGGAAAGGCCUGCUUUCCCUUGUGGAUUGCGGGUACUCGAGUGGCGAACGGGUGAGUAACACGUGAGUGAUCUGCCCCCAACUUGGGUAUAAGCCUGGGAAACUGGGUCUAAUUCCCGAUAGGACUGCAGGGUGGUGCCUGUGGUGGAAAACGAUUUUCUAGUGGUUGGUGAUGAGCUCGCGGCCUAUCAGCUUGUUGGUGGGGUAAUGGCCUACCAAGGCGGCGACGGGUAGCCGGCCUGAGAGGGUGGACGGCCACAUUGGGACUGAGAUACGGCCCAGACUCCUACGGGAGGCAGCAGUGGGGAAUAUUGCACAAUGGGCGGAAGCCUGAUGCAGCGACGCCGCGUGGGGGAUGACGGCCUUCGGGUUGUAAACUCCUUUCGACCGCGAGGAAGCCACCUGGUUGGAAGGGUGGUGACGGUAGUGGUAGAAGAAGCACCGGCUAACUACGUG